RNAcentral lists this long non-coding RNA (459 nucleotides) under Homo sapiens (human). RNAcentral describes it as "non-protein coding lnc-CCNF-3:8". Lineage: Eukaryota; Metazoa; Chordata; Mammalia; Primates; Hominidae. The record is from RNAcentral.
UCAAGUGCCUGGGCAGCCCCCAGCACCUCAAGAGCAAGUUCAGCAGUGGCUACUCCCUGCGGGCCAAGGUGCAGAGUGAAGGGCAGCAGGAGGUGCUGGAGGAGUUCAAGGCCUUCGUGGACCUGACCUUUCCAGGCAGCGUUCUUGAAGACAAGCACCAAGGCAUGGUCCAUUACCAUCUGCUGGGCCGCGACCUCAGCUGGGCGAAGUUGAGCGCACAUUUUUGACGUGACCCACUUUCUGGGGUGUUUGGCACUCUGGAGCAAGCCAAGAAGUACAUGCUGGACAACUACUCAGCAGUCAGGUCACCAUGGAGGACGUCUUCCUGAGCUUCGCAUGCCCUGUGCCCCUGGUCCAAAGCGAAGACCAACGAGAGCAAGCAGAGCAGGUGGGCUCCUCAUCGUGCUCGCUGCCUCCUUCCCUGCCUCCCUCUCGGCUUUCCUCUCAGUCUCCCUCCCU